RNAcentral lists this unclassified non-coding RNA (150 nucleotides) under uncultured Dothideomycetes. RNAcentral's name for it is "sequence contains ITS1". The record is from RNAcentral. Lineage: Eukaryota; Fungi; Ascomycota; Dothideomycetes.
CUGGGUCACCGAGCGCUCCGGCGCUCAUCCCCACCCUUCUGCUUCACGCCAACCGUCGGCGCUGGGCGGGCCCCCCGCGAAACGGGGGCCAGCCUGCCGAAAUACCAACCCUGAACAACGUUGCAGCCUGAAGUAAAAAGCAAAUAGUUA